ACCCGCUGAAUUUAAGCAUAUAAGUAAGUGGUGGAAAUUAAACCAAAUGGGAUUCCUUAAGUAAUUGCGAAUGAACAAGGACAUGCUUAGCUUGACAAUUGGAGCCUCUGGCUUCGACUUGUAUUUUUGAAAUGUAUUACCAACAGAGGUGCAGGUGUCAGCCUAUUGAAAGAAAGCGUCAAUGAGGGUGAGAAUCCUGUUUGUCAUGUGCAAUCCUCUGUGCACGGUGUAUGUUUGCUGAGUCACACUCCUUGGCAUUGGAAUGCAAAGUGGGUGGUAAGUUUCAUGUAAAGGUAAAUAUAGGAUUGAGACUGAUAGCACACAAGURCCAUGAGGGAAAUAUGAAAAGGACUUUGAAAAGAGAAUUAAAUGAGUUUGUAUUUGCUGAACAGAAAAUAAACAGAUUUGAUGUUGCUUGGUGAGAUUGUGGUGCUUGCUUGACAAUAGGUUUUGAUUGUGGGUGCGAUGAUUCUUGCUUUGCUUGCCAGUUUCUAUUUGUACAUUUGAUUACCCUUGCACAUGAAUGGUAAUUUUCCUGCGGGGUUUGGAUUGCAUGUGUUUGUGAUGAUUUGUGUUUUGAUUCAUGUGUCUGGUGCUUUUGUAAUUGCUCAUUUCUUGAAGCUGGGCCUACCCUACUAGAGCUUACAAGCCCUGGCACACAAUUGCUGGCAAAAUGCUUCUGCUUGACCCGUCUUGAAACACGGUCCAAGG
This 711-nucleotide ribosomal RNA is filed under the name Alexandrium affine. Its description in RNAcentral is "LSU rRNA". It matches the Rfam family "Eukaryotic large subunit ribosomal RNA", at positions 23 to 671 of the family's 3401-position model. The record is from RNAcentral. Lineage: Eukaryota; Dinophyceae; Gonyaulacales; Pyrocystaceae.